UGCCUUAUAGCUCAAUGGUUAGAGCGUCUGUCCGGUUAUCAGAAGGUUACGUGCAUGGUUCAAUUCCCGUUAGGGCUC
This is a non-coding RNA of Paramuricea clavata, 78 nucleotides long. The record is from the annotation of a GenBank genome assembly. NCBI's taxonomy places the organism in Eukaryota, Metazoa, Cnidaria, Anthozoa, Malacalcyonacea, Plexauridae.